Molecule: ribosomal RNA, 748 nt
Filed under: Pseudomonas monteilii
Lineage: Bacteria; Pseudomonadati; Pseudomonadota; Gammaproteobacteria; Pseudomonadales; Pseudomonadaceae
Description: bacterial SSU rRNA
Rfam family: Bacterial small subunit ribosomal RNA
Source: RNAcentral
CCGUGGUCGCGUCCGCUUACNAGUCGAGCGGAUGACGGGAGCUUGCUCCUUGAUUCAGCGGCGGACGGGUGAGUAAUGCCUAGGAAUCUGCCUGGUAGUGGGGGACAACGUUCCGAAAGGAGCGCUAAUACCGCAUACGUCCUACGGGAGAAAGUGGGGGAUCUUCGGACCUCACGCUAUCAGAUGAGCCUAGGUCGGAUUAGCUAGUUGGUGAGGUAAAGGCUCACCAAGGCGACGAUCCGUAACUGGUCUGAGAGGAUGAUCAGUCACACUGGAACUGAGACACGGUCCAGACUCCUACGGGAGGCAGCAGUGGGGAAUAUUGGACAAUGGGCGAAAGCCUGAUCCAGCCAUGCCGCGUGUGUGAAGAAGGUCUUCGGAUUGUAAAGCACUUUAAGUUGGGAGGAAGGGCAGUAAGUUAAUACCUUGCUGUUUUGACGUUACCGACAGAAUAAGCACCGGCUAACUCUGUGCCAGCAGCCGCGGUAAUACAGAGGGUGCAAGCGUUAAUCGGAAUUACUGGGCGUAAAGCGCGCGUAGGUGGUUCGUUAAGUUGGAUGUGAAAGCCCCGGGCUCAACCUGGGAACUGCAUCCAAAACUGGCGAGCUAGAGUAUGGUAGAGGGUGGUGGAAUUUCCUGUGUAGCGGUGAAAUGCGUAAAUAUAGGAAGGAACACCAGUGGCGAAGGCGACCACCUGGACUGAUACUGACACUGAGGUGCGAAAGCGUGGGGAGGCAACAGGAUUAAA